GCAGGCAAUGAUGACACACUUGCCCUCACUGAGAUCCGUUGCAGAGAUUGUUGUUGAGAACGUCCUCUGUGCUCACUGUGGGCUGAGCCUCC
Molecule: small nucleolar RNA, 92 nt
Organism: Eurypyga helias (sunbittern)
Lineage: Eukaryota; Metazoa; Chordata; Aves; Eurypygiformes; Eurypygidae
Rfam family: Small nucleolar RNA SNORD103/SNORD85
About the family: This family includes the snoRNAs SNORD103 (U103) and SNORD85 (HBII-251) .
Source: Rfam